Molecule: long non-coding RNA, 6347 nt
Filed under: Sus scrofa (pig)
Lineage: Eukaryota; Metazoa; Chordata; Mammalia; Artiodactyla; Suidae
Description: lncRNA (ENSSSCG00000061488.1)
Source: RNAcentral
UCUCCAUGCUCACUCCUGGUGCUUGGCAUUCACUUCCUUAAAAAAUUCAGCUGUAUCUUAUUACAGUUAAAAAUCUCACCACAUGCCUCCAUUUUUUUUAAACUGAAGUACAGUCAAUUUAUAAUAUUAUAUUAGUUUCAGGUGUACAGCAUAGUGAUUCAAUAUUUUUAUAGACUAUGCUCCAUUUAAAGUUACUGCAAAACUAUGGCUAUGUUCACCUGUGCUGCACAAUGUAUCCUUGUUACUUAUCAUUUUAGACAGUAGUUUGUACCUCUUAAUUCCAUACCCUAUUGUCUACCUCUCUCCUCUCUAUCCCCACCCACCAGAAACCACUAGUUUGUUCUCUAUACCCCAAAUGACUCCAUUUAAAAAAUUUCCAUUGAAUUUAGAAUAUAACUAAACUUCUUUCUGUGGCGUAUUUUUUCUCCAACCUCACUUAUCAUUCAACUUCUUUCAGACACAUCAACUCCUGCCAUCUGCCACAUUCCAGAUUAUUCUUUGCCUACGUGUCUUCCUACAUGUUAGUAUCUGCCCCAAAUGGUCUCUGCCAUUCUCCACAUAGUGGACUGUUUCUCAACCUUUGGUUCCAGAAAGGCCACUUUAUAGAAAUCUGGGUCCAAUCAUGAGAGAAAACACUAAGUAGGUUAAAUUGGGGAUGUUUACUAUAAAGAACUAUUAACUGAUAAAAAGAUAACUGAGAUAUAUAAGGAAGCUCUAUAUGGUGUCCUCAGGCUAAAGAAGAGAAUUCAAAGAAGGAAACACUUGGGAGUGGUUCAGAUCUCAUUAGAAGAAGUAUGGUUUGGUCACUGGAUAUCAUAAAAGUUUGCUGGUAUAACUUGACCAGAGCUGGUGUGUACUUGCUAGGUGAACAAAAGACAACCCUCUGGAGAGGGGAAAAUUAAAAUUACUAGCAAUGGGCUAUUGAUCAUGGGAAUAGGAGCAUGGUAGUCAGCAGUGAUAGAGGGCUUACAGAGCCUGAGGGCCAUAAAGACUGGGGAGAAGGUUACAGAAGGAAUGACUACUGGGUGUCUGUCACUUGGGUACCUGAAAACUAUUUAAUAGGGAGAGAAAUCAUUACAAUGUUUGACCUCACAGGGACUCUGGUCCAGAAAGCUGAGAUAAGGUUAUUGCCAGACAAACUGCAAGGUCACAGAGACACAUCUCCCUCUGUAAGAUGCCCUUACUCCUACCAGCCAUCUCUCCCCUGCUCCCUCACCCCCAAUCCUCCUGCUAGAAAGUAGAGGAAGCCCCUUCUUUCUACAAUAUCUCCCAAGAACCCUCCACUGAGAAUGCUCAACAUCGUGCUCACUUUAAAGGGCAAAUUCUUUUUUUUUUUUUUUGUCUUUUUGCCUUUUGAGGGCCACACCCAUGGCACAUGAAGGUGCCUAGGUGAGGGGUCUAAUCGGAGCUGUUGCCGCUCGCCUAUGGCAGAGCCACAGUAACACCAGAUCCGAGCUGCCUCUGUGACCUACAUACACCACAACUCAUGGCAACACCAGAGCCUCAGCCCCCUGAGAGAGGCCAGGGAUCAAACCCACAACCUCAUCAUUCCUAGUUGGAUUCAUUUCCACUGCACCAUGAUGAUGGGAACUCCUAAAGGGCAAAUUCUUAAAGGAAUUCUGUUGUUCAGCAAAUGGAAUCUACCAAAGGGUUCAUUCAGAGCAACAAACUAAUAACUGAUACAUGGCUCUCGUGUCUCAAACUUAAGCAGCCCUGCAAGCUUAACCCAUUAUUCUCAAUCUGAUCUCUCUGUUUCUUCAGUAGCUUAUAAUUUUCUCUUCAAUUUUAUUUGGUAACUUUUAUUCUUCUAAUUAUCUAAUUAGAAUGCAAGCAAAUUAAAACAGAGACAAUACUUGUUAGGUUCAUUGUAUUCCUUGAGCCAGGAAGGGUACUCAAAAUAUUUUUUAAAUGAAUGUCGAAUGAAUUUCCAGAAUUGACUAAAGAAGUUACCUCUCUUAGACUAGCAAUAAGAUGAUGAUUCCAAUUCCAAGUUUGAUAGGAAGACAGGAGUAGAAGAAGAAAGGGGAAGAGUAAGAUGGAUUUUGCUGACCUGCUUCUGCUUAUUGUCUCCAGCAUGCUUUUUUUUUUUUUUUUUUAAGAAGAGAGGUAAGGAAGAUUCUAUAAUAAUACUUAUAUUUUUAAUGCAUUUAACCCCUAAAUACAGUGCCGAUAUCCCUAUCCAAGUAUUAGACUAAUUCUUGAUUGACUUAUGGGUAUACCCCCCUGGUUUUGAGUUACAUGAAAAAUGCAUAUAGCCAUCAGAAGGUAGAAUUCAUGCUGAAGAUCUGCAAAGUAUUUUGUGACCUCAUCUUUAUUUAUGAGAGUUAUGCCACAGGAAAUCGUGUGCUUCAAGGCAUUAAAAUAACCUAUUACUAAAAAGAAUUUAAUCUCAUCAUUCAACAUACCAUGAGUAAAUAGUAUGGUAAUAUUUUUGUUUUAUGGCUUCACCUGUGGCAUAUGGAAGUUACAGGGCCAGGGGUUUAAUCCAGUCCCAGGUGCAACCUACACCACAGCUGUGGCAAUGCAAGAUCUUAUAAUCCAUUCCACCAGGCUGGGGAACAAAUCUGCACCUCUGCAGUGAUCCAGGACACUGCAGUCAGAUUCUUAAGCCAUUGUGCCACAGUAGGAACUAUAGUUAAAUAAAAAUAAUUUGAUUCCAAAUUUUCUUAAUCUCCUCCUACCCCCCCCAUUUGUUUGGUUAUCUCUGAAGUAUAGUUGCUAAAACAUCCCUUUGCAUGCAUUCAUUUCAGUCAUGAAAACUUAAAAUCACCAAUGUUUUAAAAUUAUAUAUUCUCAUAUACUGAGACUGCUGUGUUCUCAAAGUAGAGUCUAUAAAAUCCUGGAAUGCAUGGAAACCAUUUAAUUGGGGAAGAAAUUAUUAUAUUGUUCACUCAAUUAGUUGAAUUCUUAGUUCUCUGAAAUAUCUCUAAUGACUUUUCUAAAAUUGUUUCCCCUUUCAAAUUAGAAUAAAUGCUAAGAAUGCUAAGAAUGAGGAAUGGGCAUGGUAGGAGGAACCUGAUUUAUGUUGGUUCCAGGGAAAGCCUUUCUGAAUGACAUUUAAGUUUAGACCUAAACUUUGAAAAGGAAUCAGCUAAGGAAAAUGAAAAGAAAAAGUGUUUUGGAUGGAAGAAAAUAGCACACCUGAAAGUUUAUGUCAAAGAGGGGUUUUGCUUAUGUUUUCCUCUAAGAAUUUUAGAGUAUUCAGCCCCACAUUUAGGUCUGUAAUCCAUUUUCAGUUUAUUUUUGUGUAUGGUACUGAGAAUGUUGUAAUUUCAUUCUUUUGCAUGUAGCUGUCCAGCUUUCCCAGUACCACUUAUUGAAAAGUCUGUUUUUUCUCCAUUGUAUAUUCCUGCCUCCUUUGUCAUGGAUUGACCAUUUGUCUGUAGAUUUAUUCCUGGGCUUUCCACUGAUCUAUAUUUCUGUUUUUGUGCCAAUACCAUACUGUUUUGAUGACUGCAGCUUUGUAAUAUAGUCUGAAGUCAGCGAGCCUGAUUCCUCCAGCUCAGUUCUUCUUUCUUAAGAUUUCUUUGGCUAUUUGAGGUCUUUUGUGUUUCCAUACAGAUUUUUAAAUUUUUUCUUCUAGUUCUGUGAAAAAUAUCAUUGGUAAUUUCACAGGAAUUACAUUGAAUCUGUAGGUUGCUUUGGGUAGUACAAUCAUUUUGACAAUAUUGAUUCUUCCAAUUCAAAAUUAUGGCAUAUCUUUCCAUCUGUUUGUGUUAUUUUCAAUUUCCUUUAUCAGUGUCUUAUAGUUUUCAGAGUACAGGUCUUUUGCCUCUUUUGGUAGGUUUAUUCCAAGGUAAUUUAUUCUCUUUAAUGUAACAGUAAAUGGAAUUUUUCCUUAAUUUCUCUUUCUUAUCUUUUGUUAUUGGUUUAUAGAAAUGUGAGAGGAUUUUGUAUUAAUUUUGUAUCCUGCAACUUUAUCAAAUUCAUUGAUAAGCUGUAGCAGUUUUCUGGUAACAUCUUUAGGAUUUUCUAUGUAUAGUAUCAUGUCAUCUGCAAAGAGUGACAGUUUUACUUCUUUUCUGAUUUGGACUCCUUUCAUUUUUCUUCUCUGAUUUCCAUGGCUAGGACUUCCAAAACUAUAUUGAAUAGAAGUGCUGAGAGUGGACAUCCUUGUCUUGUUCCUCAUCUUCGAGGAAAUGCUUUCAGCAAUUCACCAUUGUUUAUGAUGUUAGCUGUGGGUAUGCCAUAUAUGGCUAUUAUUAUGUUGAGGUAUGUUUUCCCUCUGUGCCCAUUUUCUGGAGAGUUUAUAUCAUAAGUGGGUGCUGAAUUUUGUGAAAAGAUUUUUCUGCAUCUAUUAAGGUGACCGUAUGGUUUUAAUUCCUCAGUGUUUUAAUGUGGUGUAUCACAUGAUUGAUUUGUGGAUAUUGAAGAAUCCUUGCAUUCUUGGGAUUAAUCUCACUUGAUUGUGGUGUAUGCACUUUUUAAUGUAUUGUUGGAUUUGGUUUGCUAAUAAUUUGUUAAGGAUUUUUGCUUCUAUAUUCAUCAAUGAAAUUCAUAUAUAAUUUUCCUUCCUUUUAAUGUUUUUGUCUGGUUUUGGUAUAAAGGGUGGUUUUGGCCUCAUAGAAUGAACUUGGGAGUGCUCCUUCUUCUGUAAUUUCUUGGAAUAGUUUCAGAAGUAUAGGUGCUAUUUCUUUUCUAAAUAUUUGAUAGUAUUCUCUGUGAAGCCACCUGGUCCUGGACUUUUUAAAGAAGGUUUUUAAUCACAUUUUCAAUUUCACUACUUGUGAUUGGUCUGUUAAUAUUUUCUAUUUUUUCCAGGUUCAGUCUUUGAAGGUUGUACCUUUUCAUCUAUGUUUUCCAUUCUGUUGGCAUAUAGUUGCAUGUAUUAGUCUCUUAUUGUCCUUUGUAUUUCUGUAUGUCAAUGGCAACUUCUCCUUUUUCAUUUCUGUUUUUAUUGAUUUGAGUCUUUUUCUUUAUGAGUCUGGCUAAAGGUUUAUCAAUUUCGUUUUUAUUUUCAAAGAAUCAGAUUUCACUUUCAUUGAUUUUUUUUCUAUUGUUUUCUCUGUCUAUAUUUCAUUUAUUUCUGGUCUGAUCUUUAUCAUUUCUUUCAUUUACAAUUUACAUUUGAAUAUGAUCAAAUUAAUAAUAUUCCCUUAUGAUAAUAACUAAUGUUAUUAUCUAAACUUAAGUUUAUUAACUAAACUUAAUGUUGUUAAGUUUAUAAAGUUUUCCUUGAUCAAAAGAUUUGAUAAAUAUUUAUUUUUAUUUUCUUAGAGUUUCUUUAACUGCACAAUUUAUCUAAGCACAAUCUUAAAGUACUGUGUGAUGGAUUAAAAAGAAACUAGAAAUUACUCUCCAUUAUAGAACUUAUAACAAGUAUAAAUUGUAUAAUUUAAAUAAAUCUUAACUUGGGGAAAAUAACAUUUAUAUCAUCAUAGAGCAUAAUAGUUAUUGGAUUCUAAUUAUUCACCAUUUCGUAGAAACUUAACUAGAAAUCUUUCUACAAUUAAAAGUAAAUCACAGCAAUGGAUCAGUAGGCAUAUUUGAAGGAACAUAAUACAAAAUAUUUUUUAGAGUUCUGAGGACUAGAAGCACUUAAAGUUGACACUUGAAACAACAUAGGGGCUAUUGCGGCCAUCCCACCACGCACUGAAAAUCUGCAUAUGAUCACCUUCCAUGUGGGUGGUUUCUCCAUAUCUGAGGAUUCUACCAGCCUCUGAUCAUGUAGCACUGUUGCAUUUACUAUUGAAAAAAUCCAAGUAUAAGUAGAUCUGUGCAGUUCAAACCUAUGUUGUUUAAGGGUCAACUGUAUAUAUAAAAAUGGGAAAGGCAUUUUGGUUUUAUGAUACCGGAUUGUGUGGUGGAUGGAAGACAAAGAGAUAUUUACUCUUUUAAGGUACAAAGAUUAUAAUAUCUGAUGAUACCACCCAUCUUUUGCCAUUCCAUUGUUUUCUAGAAGUAUGAUACUUUACUGAGUCAAAAGAGUCAGUGGUUAUCUAUAAUUUAGCUUAUAUUCUCUCUGAAAGGAUAUUCAUGUGAAGGUAAGGGAGUAAGAUCUCCAGAGGGCAAAAAGGCAGUGAAAGAACAAGUCAUGUAAGUUAGAGUCUUGGGUAAUACUUAACAGAGUUGGAUCAAGAUGAGGAAGGGGAUCUAUAAAAGGGGUUAAAAGGAGUAUUCAGAAGAAUGAAAAUCAAGAGAAUGUGGGAGUUCCAUCAUGGCUCAGUGGAAAUGAAUCUGACUAGUAUCAAGGAGGAUACAGGUUCGAUCCCUGGCCUCACUCUAUGGGUUAAGUAUCCAGUGUUGCCAUGAACUGUGAUGUAGGCCACAGACACAGCUCAGAUCUGGGAUCUGGUGUUGCUCUGGCUCCAAUUUGACCCCUAGCCUAGGAACUUUCAUAUGCUGCA